RNAcentral lists this ribosomal RNA (413 nucleotides) under uncultured Spirochaeta sp. RNAcentral's name for it is "bacterial SSU rRNA". It matches the Rfam family "Bacterial small subunit ribosomal RNA", at positions 969 to 1382 of the family's 1533-position model. Lineage: Bacteria; Pseudomonadati; Spirochaetota; Spirochaetia; Spirochaetales; Spirochaetaceae. The record is from RNAcentral.
CCUUACCAGGGCUUUGACAUAUACAGGAAUGUUGUAGAGAUACAGCAGCCGCUUGCGGUCUGUAUACUAGGUGCUGCAUGGCUGUCGUCAGCUCGUGCUGUGAAGUGUUGGGUUAAGUCCCGCAACGAGCGCAACCCUAUCAUCUGUUGCCAGCAUUUAAGGUGGGACUCAGAUGAGACUGCCGGUGACAAACCGGAGGAAGGUGGGGACGACGUCAAGUCAUCAUGGCCCUUAUGUCCUGGGCUACACACGUGCUACAAUGGCCGGUACAGAGUGAAGCGAAACCGCGAGGUGAAGCAAAACGCAGAAAGCCGGUCUCAGUACGGAUCGAAGUCUGCAACCCGACUUCGUGAAGCUGGAUUCGCUAGUAAUCGCGCAUCAGCCAUGGCGCGGUGAAUACGUUCCCGGGCCUU